Asparagus officinalis (garden asparagus) is the source of this 1744-nucleotide long non-coding RNA. RefSeq lists it as uncharacterized. The record is from RefSeq and is a predicted model, not a curated record. The transcript is spliced from 3 exons. NCBI's taxonomy places the organism in Eukaryota, Viridiplantae, Streptophyta, Magnoliopsida, Asparagales, Asparagaceae.
GUUGGGGCUAUUUUUCCAGUUACUAUGCUUAUUCGAGCUUGUUUAGCUCUCUAUUGUUAGGUUUUUUUUGUUCGAAUUUGUGCUCGUUGUCGAAUUUGUGCUCAUUGUCGGUGAGAUUGCUACAACUGUUUGUCUCACAUUUGUUUGAUGUUGUGAUAAUUUGAAUUGUAACUAAAAUUUUCGAUGUUUUGGUUAUUUUACAGUAAGAACGAAGGGGAGAAUGAGGGGAUAUCCGUAAUAGGAAAUCAAACAGUGUGAGAGCCCAGGGUUGUCGUGCAAACAACUAGUGAUAUCGAUAUUCUUGAUGAUGGAUACCGUUGGAGAAAAUGUAGGCAAAAAGUGGUGAAGGGAAAUCCAAAUCCAAGGAGCUAUUACAAAUGUACAACAAUUGCCUUUUGCCCACAUUAUCCCAUUGGUUGUCAACAUUUGCCUUUUGCCCACAUUAUCCCAUUGGCUUCCCAGGUUUAUGUAUGGUAGAAUUGAGGUCAGUCACCACCUACAGCAGCGAUGCCCUUUUCCUCAACCAAAUGACUCAAGUUUCGGCUAUGUUAAGUUCAAUUUUGUAGUGUUUGCUUUGGAAAUUUUCUCGCUUUGUUUUUUUUACUUUCAGGCAUGAUCUCUGCUGAAAUUGGCUACGGGUUUGGUUUUCUAUAUUGCUGGGAAUGGAGUGUUUUGUUCAUUGUUUUAGUGAUGAAAUUUGCUAUGGGAUUGGCUUGUUAUAUUGCUGGGAAUGGAGAAUUUUGCACAUUGUAAUACUGUUGGAAUUUGCUGGGCAUUUGGAUUGUUAUAUUGCUGGAAAUCUGCAGGGUAUAGCUUGCUUAUGUAUGGUUGAGGAUAAACCAUGUUUUGUGGACUACAUUUUUAUCUUAUAUUUUGCUCUGGAGCUACAUGUCUAAUAGCUCACAAGGCUUUUGUAAUAGUUUUUGCUUCUUAGAACUUUGUAAGGGUGAGUGUUGUCUCACUUUAGAACUGAUCACUCAUUGAGAGGCGAUACCAUGUAGUUUCUUUUCCUUUAAUGGUAUUCUACUCUUCAAAAAAAUCACAAUAGCCACACAAAUCAAACUCCAUUUACAUUGGAGAUGCUUCAAGCUAACAUUGGCUAUGGAUACUCUAACUAUGAGAAUUCCUGAAUUCUUACAUGAAUUAUCAACAUCAGCAACAAUAGAGUAUGUAUCAGAAAGCGAUGAUGAACCUAGAGAAGACUUGUUCAUUGAGUCACUUUUGUGUGGAAUCAUGAGCUAGUUCAAAUGCUUUUUUCGACGCUGUACAAGUUGUUCUUUGACAAUAAUAUAUUGUAGUAAAAUGGUAGUUUUGUAUAUUCCUGAUAGGGUUUUGUGUGUAAAUCUUGAGAAGUUGGUCUUAGAGAACCUUAGUCACAUUUGUUUAUUACUAUUUUAAUUUUAUUUUGGAGGUCCUUUCAGAUUGAAAAAUAAUGGAUCUUUGAAUACUGUUGUAUUAUAAAUCUUCAAUAAGGGCGAAAGUGGUAUUUUUUAAAAAAAUCAUGAGAUUAGUCUCCUUAACCCUUCUUUAUUUGCCAAACACAAAAGAUUUAACCCAUUGUCUUAACUAUCGUAUCCAAACGAGUUUAGAAUUUUUUUAACCCUUCAUGAUGGAUUAACUAAGUUAACCCUUCUCUUUAAUCCCUCCACCUUAACCCUUUGCCAAACAGGGCCUUAGAUAAAAAAGUUAUUUUAGGAAGUAUAAAUAAGAAGAUAAAUAGGAAGUAGUUAGAAUUCUCCAACUA